CUGAGCUCCUGCGGAAAACUUGCCCGUUUCCUCCCCCUCCGCCGGGCGAAGCCCGCAGCCCCGCUGUCAGACCGCUCCCGCUGCGCGCUGCCGCCCUCCCGCCCCGCACCUGCCGCCCGCGCUGGGCGCUUCCCGACGGCGCCGGGCUCGGGCGGUUGGGCCGGCCCAGAGUUCUGAUCCCGCUUUCAGCUGGAGAAAGGCGACGGCGGCGCGCACGUGUGGUGUGAAGAAAGAGCCUUUAUCGCGGUGCUGAGGUUCGUGUUCGUGGUGCGCGGAAGCGCUUGGGCAGGGCGUGCUACGGGUAGCGGCGAGCGCGGUGCCCGGCGCCGCAGCCGGCUGCUUACUGACACCUCGGGAUCUGUUUUACUCGUAAUGCUCCUUAAUGCUGCACGUGAUGGCGGAUUAUGGCUCUCUUAAGAGAGAUUUAAGCGGUCUCGCGAAGAUCAGCUGUGCUCAGGUUUAUUACUCGGCGGGGGGCAGCAGCCCGGGGCUGGGGGUGCGGAUGGGAAGUGCAAGUUAGCCGCUUGGUUGCGGUGCUUUUGUGGGUGAUCGGGAGCUGUCAGCGCUGUGGUAGCCCCGUUCCCGCUCAGCGUCCCGCACCGGUGUGCGCUCUGAGCUACCGGUGUGAGCUGCCCUGCUUGGAUCGCGUGCUUCCUGAGAAGCAGAGCGAACUGUAUCAUACCGAAAAGUGUUCUCAGCUUGUGGUUGUCUUAAUCUUUUCUGUUCAAAAUGAAAACAAAAGCCGCUUCAGGAUGGGAACGUCUCGACAGAUUUCGCACGGCUAAGGUUUGCGACAACGGAGCCGUACGCAGCUUUUUGUGUGGGCUGCUGUGCUCUGGGAGCUGAAGCGUGGCCGGAGCUGAGAUGUGCUGUCCCACAGCCGUGUGCACGGGGCAGCCAGGGGCUCCAGCUGUGUUUGCAGAGGAACCGUCCUGCAUCAGAUCCCUGAGAGACAGCGGUGCUCCUCUGGUGUGCUCAGCGGCUGUGUGCUCCAACGGCUGCCAGAAGGGCUCCCUGGGAGGGCACGCUGUUCUGCUGUGCCUCGAUGAAGGGGUGCUGGCCUUAAAACGCACCUGGCCAUAAGUACCAGCAUGGUGAGACGCACGGGGACAGGCUGCUCUUCUUCAGUUCUGCUCUGCUUUUCCAUCCGAGGACUUUAUUGGAUGCUGUGGCGUUAACUAAUCGAGCUGCUUUUAACUUUUUUUCUUUGCUGUUCUGAUCAGAACUAUAUUUCAGCUUCCACUUUAAGCAAGGCAAAAAAGUAAGGCUCGGAGCCACACUGUGGGUGUGCAUGCCUGUCAGCCUGUCUGGCUGUACCGUUGUUAGCCUCCCCGAUACAGGCAGGACCAAAGUGCCUCUCCUGUGCAGAAACUUCUGACAUUACUAUGGGAAAAUCGUGGGCUCUGGAGCAGUGAGGUACUGGAGCAAAUUGCUGUCUCCAGCCUCGCUCCACGUAAACACAAGCACACUUCUAGAAUAUUUAAUUUGCAAUGUCCUCAGCGGAGAGCUACCCCACAGCUCCUGGCAGAAAUCCCAGAAGCAGCAGAUCUGGGGUGCUGGGAGUUGCAGAGGCCAUUGGUGCCUGGUGGGGUGGCUGUCUGAACUGGUUGAGUUGUAGUUUGUCCUGGCACUGGGACAGUUCAAACUGAACAGGUAUUUAAUCUUGCUGAAAGCAAGUCUGCUUUGAACAGUACUCGGUAUGUGUAUGAGCGAUUUAGAGCCUGUUGGGACAUGGCUGUCGAGAGAUCUACAUGGUAGGGAAAUCUCUGUUACUGAAAGUAACCUUUGGUGUAGCUGUACCUCCUAAUAAUUUUUAAGUAAUAUCUGUGUAGUUAUAAUAAAAUCCAGAAUAAAC
Molecule: long non-coding RNA, 1855 nt
Organism: Gallus gallus (chicken)
Lineage: Eukaryota; Metazoa; Chordata; Aves; Galliformes; Phasianidae
Source: Ensembl